Molecule: non-coding RNA, 56 nt
Organism: Schistocephalus solidus
Lineage: Eukaryota; Metazoa; Platyhelminthes; Cestoda; Diphyllobothriidea; Diphyllobothriidae
Source: Rfam
GAGCCCGUAGCUCAAUGGUAGAGCGUUCGACUCAAAUACCAAAGGUCGCGGGUUCA